UUAGCGGCGGACGGGUGAGUAACACGUGGGCAACCUGCCUGUAAGACUGGGAUAACUUCGGGAAACCGAAGCUAAUACCGGAUAGGAUCUUCUCCUUCAUGGGAGAUGAUUGAAAGAUGGUUUCGGCUAUCACUUACAGAUGGGCCCGCGGUGCAUUAGCUAGUUGGUGAGGUAACGGCUCACCAAGGCAACGAUGCAUAGCCGACCUGAGAGGGUGAUCGGCCACACUGGGACUGAGACACGGCCCAGACUCCUACGGGAGGCAGCAGUAGGGAAUCUUCCGCAAUGGACGAAAGUCUGACGGAGCAACGCCGCGUGAGUGAUGAAGGCUUUCGGGUCGUAAAACUCUGUUGUUAGGGAAGAACAAGUACAAGAGUAACUGCUCGUACCUUGACGGUACCUAACCAGAAAGCCACGGCUAACUACGUGCCAGCAGCCGCGGUAAUACGUAGGUGGCAAGCGUUAUCCGGAAUUAUUGGGCGUAAAGCGCGCGCAGGCGGUUUCUUAAGUCUGAUGUGAAAGCCCACGGCUCAACCGUGGAGGGUCAUUGGAAACUGGGGAACUUGAGUGCAGAAGAG
Molecule: ribosomal RNA, 578 nt
Filed under: Priestia megaterium
Lineage: Bacteria; Bacillati; Bacillota; Bacilli; Caryophanales; Bacillaceae
Description: bacterial SSU rRNA
Rfam family: Bacterial small subunit ribosomal RNA
Source: RNAcentral